UACAGAGGGCGCGAGCGUUGUCCGGAAUCACUGGGCGUAAAGGGCGCGUAGGUGGCCACUAUAAGGCCGCGGUGAAAGUUCGGGGCUCAACCCUGAAUCGGCCGCGGCGACUGUAGGGCUUGGGCACUGUAGAGGCAGAUGGAAUUCCGGGUGUAGCGGUGGAAUGCGUAGAGAUCCGGAAGAACACCGGUGGCGAAGGCGGUUCUCUGGGAAUGUCCUGACGCUGAGGAGCGAAAGUGUGGGGAGCGAACAGG
Molecule: ribosomal RNA, 254 nt
Filed under: uncultured bacterium
Lineage: Bacteria
Description: partial 16S ribosomal RNA
Rfam family: Bacterial small subunit ribosomal RNA
Source: RNAcentral